UUUGAUCAUGGCUCAGAUUGAACGCUGGCGGCAUGCCUUACACAUGCAAGUCGAACGGCAGCGCGGGAGCAAUCCUGGCGGCGAGUGGCGAACGGGUGAGUAAUACAUCGGAACGUGCCCAAUCGUGGGGGAUAACGCAGCGAAAGCUGUGCUAAUACCGCAUACGAUCUACGGAUGAAAGCAGGGGAUCGCAAGACCUUGCGCGAAUGGAGCGGCCGAUGGCAGAUUAGGUAGUUGGUGAGGUAAAGGCUCACCAAGCCUUCGAUCUGUAGCUGGUCUGAGAGGACGACCAGCCACACUGGGACUGAGACACGGCCCAGACUCCUACGGGAGGCAGCAGUGGGGAAUUUUGGACAAUGGGCGAAAGCCUGAUCCAGCCAUGCCGCGUGCAGGAUGAAGGCCUUCGGGUUGUAAACUGCUUUUGUACGGAACGAAACGGCCUUUUCUAAUAAAGAGGGCUAAUGACGGUACCGUAAGAAUAAGCACCGGCUAACUACGUGCCAGCAGCCGCGGUAAUACGUAGGGUGCAAGCGUUAAUCGGAAUUACUGGGCGUAAAGCGUGCGCAGGCGGUUAUGUAAGACAGUUGUGAAAUCCUCGGGCUCAACCUGGGAACUGCAUCUGUGACUGCAUAGCUAGAGUACGGUAGAGGGGGAUGGAAUUCCGCGUGUAGCAGUGAAAUGCGUAGAUAUGCGGAGGAACACCGAUGGCGAAGGCAAUCCCCUGGACCUGUACUGACGCUCAUGCACGAAAGCGUGGGGAGCAAACAGGAUUAGAUACCCUGGUAGUCCACGCCCUAAACGAUGUCAACUGGUUGUUGGGUCUUCACUGACUCAGUAACGAAGCUAACGCGUGAAGUUGACCGCCUGGGGAGUACGGCCGCAAGGUCGAAACUCAAAGGAACUGACGGGGACCCGCACAAGCGGUGGAUGAUGUGGUUUAAUUCGAUGCAACGCGAAAAACCUUACCCACCUUUGACAUGUACGGAAUUCGCCAGAGAUGGCUUAGUGCUCGAAAGAGAACCGUAACACAGGUGCUGCAUGGCUGUCGUCAGCUCGUGUCGUGAGAUGUUGGGUUAAGUCCCGCAACGAGCGCAACCCUUGUCAUUAGUUGCUACAUUCAGUUGGGCACUCUAAUGAGACUGCCGGUGACAAACCGGAGGAAGGUGGGGAUGACGUCAAGUCCUCAUGGCCCUUAUAGGUGGGGCUACACACGUCAUACAAUGGCUGGUACAAAGGGUUGCCAACCCGCGAGGGGGAGCUAAUCCCAUAAAACCAGUCGUAGUCCGGAUCGCAGUCUGCAACUCGACUGCGUGAAGUCGGAAUCGCUAGUAAUCGUGGAUCAGAAUGUCACGGUGAAUACGUUCCCGGGUCUUGUACACACCGCCCGUCACACCAUGGGAGCGGGUUCUGCCAGAAGUAGUUAGCUUAACCGCAAGGAGGGCGAUUACCACGGCAGGGUUCGUGACUGGGGUGAAGUCGUAACAAGGUA
Molecule: ribosomal RNA, 1489 nt
Filed under: metagenome
Description: bacterial SSU rRNA
Rfam family: Bacterial small subunit ribosomal RNA
Source: RNAcentral